UUGGAGGGCAAGUCUGGUGCCAGCAGCCGCGGUAAUUCCAGCUCCAAUAGCGUAUAUUAAAGUUGUUGCAGUUAAAAAGCUCGUAGUUGAAUUUCGAGAUCAAUUUGUCGGUCGUGCCUCGGUACGUACUGGCAUUAUUGAUUUCUCCCUUCUGAAGAACCGCGAUGUCAUUAAUUUGGUGUCGUGGGGAAUCAGGAUUGUUACUUUGAAAAAAUUAGAGUGUUUAAAGCAGGCGCACGCUUGAAUACAUUAGCAUGGAAUAAUGAGAUAGGACGUUUGAUUCUAUUUUGUUGGUUUCUAGGAUCGACGUAAUGAUUAAUAGGGAUAGUUGGGGGCAUUAGUAUUCAAUUGUCAGAGGUGAAAUUCUUGGAUUUAUUGAAGACUAACUACUGCGAAAGCAUUUGCCAAGGAUGUUUUCAUUAAUCAAGAACGAAAGUUAGGGGAUCGAAGACGAUCAGAUACCGUCGUAGUCUUAACCAUAAACUAUGCCGACUAGGGAUCGGAUGAUGUUAAUUUUUUAAUGACUCAUUCGGCGCCUUACGGGAAACCAAAGUGUUUGGGUUC
RNAcentral lists this ribosomal RNA (564 nucleotides) under uncultured Glomeromycotina. Its description in RNAcentral is "SSU rRNA". It matches the Rfam family "Eukaryotic small subunit ribosomal RNA", at positions 548 to 1114 of the family's 1831-position model. The record is from RNAcentral. Lineage: Eukaryota; Fungi; Glomeromycota.